RNAcentral lists this microRNA precursor (103 nucleotides) under Marmota monax (woodchuck). The record is from RNAcentral. Lineage: Eukaryota; Metazoa; Chordata; Mammalia; Rodentia; Sciuridae.
AGUGGUAUAGCUGGGUCAAAUGGUUGUUUCAUUCCAAGUUUUCUAAGGAAUCUCUAUAUUGUUUUCCAGAGUGGUUGGGCCAAUUUGCAUUCCCACCAGCAAU